Long non-coding RNA from Drosophila nasuta, 287 nucleotides. RefSeq lists it as uncharacterized. NCBI's taxonomy places the organism in Eukaryota, Metazoa, Arthropoda, Insecta, Diptera, Drosophilidae. The record is from RefSeq and is a predicted model, not a curated record. The transcript has 3 exons.
AGUUGUUAGUUGCUAGCAAAACGUGACGGAACUGUAUUAACCUUUGCAGAUCUGCAGAAGAUUUAAACAUGGAGAAUUCCUGUGAACCCCAAAAAAAAAAUAACUCACGAUCAAGAGUUGGUUGAGGAGUCAGUUCAGCAUGAUAAUGAAGUUGCUAAAGUGUUAGAGCAAGACGGCGGAGGCGAAGUGGAAGCGGAUUCAAUUCCAAAUGUCAGCAGCAACAGCGUCGUCGCUCUUGCUGUUCAGGAGCCAGUUCACGGCCGCGAAUUGGAAUCUGAUUCCACCAU